AGCGCGGAGCUACGGCGCCCUGAGUUGAUGAUGGAGUGCUCCGAGAUGCGCGAGACGAGACCGCUCGAGGAGGAUCCAGCGGCCGCGCUCGAACUUCUCCCAGAGCUUUCGUCAUCAGCUGUAAGUUCUGCGCCGAAAGUUUACAUCACGGUUCCUGGUUUCCUGGCUUGGGAUCCCCAAAGAGAAGAUAGAUCAACAGGGGAUUCAGUUCUGCCCAGUAAAUAAACGGAUGCUCUCUAUUGAAAGCAAAGUCAAAGGUUUAAGGUUCAUUUUGAGGAUCCAUCCAGACUCCAUGUGCUCCAGAAGUGGCAAGACGUUGCAAAUGAAGAAUCUCUAGCCUGAAUCCUCAUGUUGUUUCCUCCAACCAUCCAGGAGUUUGUUAAUUUGAGUUUGCAAAAUGAUUAAUCUACCACAAGAGAGUAUGUUGUGCUCAGGAGAGUUUAUGUAAGAAAGUUUGACUGCAUUUAUUCAGGAGUGUUAAAAAUGAAACAAUUUAGCACAACGUUGAAAUGUUAUUGCAAGAAUGAAAAUGCUUGCAUACCUGUGAAUGAGGUUCAUUAUUAGUUUGGACAUGCAGAAGUGUUACAGUAAUUUAAAGCUCUAAUUGUAACUGAAAUGAGUGGGAAUGUAGUUAAUUAUGAUACAAUGAUAUAACUGAUGAUUUGACUUCAUUUUGAAGAUCCAUUGCCCAAUAAAAGUUA
Long non-coding RNA from Xyrauchen texanus (razorback sucker), 701 nucleotides. RefSeq lists it as uncharacterized. NCBI's taxonomy places the organism in Eukaryota, Metazoa, Chordata, Actinopteri, Cypriniformes, Catostomidae. The record is from RefSeq and is a predicted model, not a curated record. The transcript has 4 exons.